Molecule: non-coding RNA, 5708 nt
Organism: Rhopilema esculentum
Lineage: Eukaryota; Metazoa; Cnidaria; Scyphozoa; Rhizostomeae; Rhizostomatidae
Source: RefSeq, a predicted model, not a curated record
AUGUUAAUCUAUAUCUUUAUGUAUGUCAAAGUUAAAUGUUUGACUUUCGCUGAAAAUAAUUUAUCUAGUUUGAGUCAUCCAAUUUGGGUUCUCCUUCAGCGAGCCAUGUUGAUCUCACCUCGUUCUCAAAACGCGGGAACUUUGAUAUGACUUUCUUUCCUUUUCGUCUGCAACUUCUUUUCGAAGACUAGAUUUAAAAAACAUGUCUAAAGUUCGCGAGUUACCAGCAUGGAUGAAAGCCAAACACAAUAAAGAAAGUGAAAGCACAGAUUGUCAGAAUAUUCAAUCAUACAGACCAAAUCAAAAGAAGCCAGAUGUAAAAGAAAAAGACCUUUCUUUUGCUGAACAAUUAGCAACAUGCCUCACUUUCAAUGGAAAAGUACAUUAUAUUCAUCAGAAGGAUGAAGGAAACUUUGUUUGCCAAAAUAUGCUAGACAGCCCUCAUAAACCAAUUGUUUGUGGAUUUGACAUUGAAUGGAAAGUUAACUACAGGGCUGGUGAGGGGCUAUGCAAAACAGCUCUUCUACAGAUUUGCACCUCUGAGAAGGAAUGCUUUUUGUUUCAUCUAGCAGCUAUGAAUGGUUUUCCUGUUGCUUUAAAAUGCCUUUUGGAAGACAAAAACAUCAUCAAGACUGGAGUGGGGAUCGAUGGAGAUAUGUCAAAACUUCGUACAGACUACAAGGUGAAUCCAGUGGGUGUUGUAGACUUGUCUCAGAUGCUGAACGAAAUAAAGAAAAUAAAUGAAAAAUGGAGCUUGAAUGGAAUGCUAGUCCACGUGGUGAAGAAAAGACUGGAAAAAGACCCGAAAAUUAGAUGUAGCAAUUGGGAGAGGUUUCCGUUAAGUCAAAAACAGAUUGAAUACGCAACCCUGGAUGCAUAUACCAACGCUGAAGGGAUCCGUGUGACAUUUCAAGAGGGCACAGUUUUGCAAAACGCCAGAUAAUCCAAGAAAAUACCACCUUGAAGAUUAUUACCCUAUACACCCUAUUAAUGCCCCUUCAGAGCGCAAGAAGACGCAAGUAAAAAGGUAUAGUAACAAGGUGAUAUACGUGUCAAACAGAAAAUCGGUCAUUUGACAGAGUGGACCAGACCGUCUGGCAAACCCUCAAAACCUUGAAAACAGGUAUCAUGUUAUACUCUUAUACUCCACUAAAUGUAAUGGCUGACGUUUGCCAAGGUGAUUGGGACUUGCGUUGUGUCAAGAAACCCCACAAGGAGCUACUCUUGAGGCUUUUUUGUUUUUGUAACUAGUUGCUUGUGCGAAGGGAAUUUCACUUUUUAUCUUCACAUCAGAGAGUUUCCCCUUCCUUACAUCGAUCGAGAUAUCUCUUCAAAGCUUUUGUCUUUCAAAGUCUUAGACAAGGUUUUGUUUGUUAGGAAAUGUUAUUCUCAACUUUUGCAACGGCAGCGCCGAUUAUUUCAUGAAUAAUUCAAGGUUAAUGUGAAAGGCAGCCAUUUUUGCUCGAUAAUUCAGCUGUUUUGGGAACGGCUGGGUCAAGAACAUGUUUUUCAAAAAAGUUGAAUGUUUUCUAGUCAAAAAAUCUGCGCUUUUCAAGGUUAAAAAAACUGUUAUGCAAUUGUUACAAAUUUUUGAGCAUAAGUUUUGAAUAUCAGUGAAAUUUGCUAGAGCUAUUUGGGUAUUCAUAGGCCAUUUCUGCACUGGCUAAUUUAUUUGUCAAAAAGCAAGAUCAUUUUGCUUUUGAAAUGAAUGAGCUGGUAAUACAAAAGUUUGAAUAGAAAUACAUUCGGCAGUUAUCAAUAAGUUUUAGAAAACUCCAUGUAAUUGCUAUGAUAGGUAUAUACAUGUGAUAUUCUAACACCAUAUAAUAUCCUAAGCAACAAUGAAAGCAAGAGAUUGAAAUCGUCGAGAACUAAAAAGAUUUCAAGAAGCAUUGCACUUCCUUUCCUCCAGGUCUGUUGGGAUUUAUGGAGUUUGCGCGAGGUGCUUCAAAACAGCAACAAAUACUGCUGUGUACACAAUCGCAGAUCGUGCAGUUUGGGAAAUUUUUCUAAGAAAGUUUAUAGGCUCUUUGAAUGAGGCAUUGUCGGUGAGAAAGUUUAUAUGUUGCUCGUCUGUGAAUCAAUAAUUGAAAAACUAGGUCGUUGUUACUUGAAUAUCUGUUGUUUUGACAGACAAGGAUUCAAGAUUUGAAUACUGUAUUAAACUGUAGUAAGUAAUGACAAACGUCCAAGCAGGUGGUGCGAGAUUAUCAAGUUGGCUGUGACGAUCACCAAACUUCUUUAAGUAGAAAAUCUUUGACGUAACCAAACAAUCGUGCAAUUAGACAUAUUGCGCUUAAAACUCGGUAUGGGUUUUAAUACCAUAGACUGCUACAGUCGACAGAAAUUGCUUUUAUUAAGCGCGAUUGAUCAGUUCAUAUUGCAGAGGCCCUUUUCACUUAAUUACUAUGAGACUAGCUAACGUAUCUCCAAUAUGAACAGCUCUGAAAACGUACUAAACUGACCAUUCGUUAUGCUGUGUAUUCAAAGUAAUUAUAGCUUUGUGACACAUGAAAAUAAUUUGGCAUUGCGAGGAGAUAUAGAGGAACUUCCCCCAAACCCCCCCCCCCCCUAGCUCCGACGGGCCUGUAAUGCAAUCAUCAGACAAAUGAUAGGUAAUCAUAGAAAUGAGAUGUCUUUUCCUUGGAAUGACUUUGACUUAUAUCUAUGUCAUAUUGCGAUUUUUUUUAGUUUCGCUUCCAGUCAUAAUCUAAGGAAAGUGCAGAGAGUUAUUUUUUAUUAUUUUGUGUGGCAGCAACGUUUCUGGAGAAAAUUUCCGGUGAAGAAAGCUUGAAUUUUGAUACAUUAUUGUUUAAAGAAAAGUUAAUCUAAUCGAACAUCCUGAAAGCGUGUGUAUGGUCAGUUUUUACUUAUGGAUGCGAGGCAUGGACCAUCGGAAAAGUGGUAAAAGAAAAUAUACAGGAAUUUGAGCUAUGGUGUAACCGGAGAAUAUUGAAAAUUAAAUGGAAAGAUAGAAUUAGAAAUAAAGAAGUACAGAGGAAUCCCGAUAUAACGAACUUCCCGGUCUAACGAACUAAAUGUCAGGUCCCUUGGAUUUUGCCUAACAAACUCCUUACAAACUCUCGCGGUAUAACGAACCCCGGAUAUAACGAACUCUCGAUAUUACGAACCCAAUUGUGUGUCCCUUCAUCAUAACUAGUAUGUCCCUCGAUAUAACGAACUUUUCAUAAAUUUUUAAUCUGUUAUUUUUGUUUGUUUAUUUUCGGCGUUCAUUUAUCACUUUAUGUUGGGACAAAUCACUUUUGCAAUCGGCAAAACAUGUCGAUGAUACAUUUCAAGCAAUGGCUGAUGGACUCGGUGCACGAGAUGAAAGUUUGUUUGCGUCAGAAAUUACUGCGAAUGAGUACAUUAACACUAACGAACACCUUCUUACAUAUGAGACAUUGGCAAUGAGCGACGACAAAAAUUAAUUGCGAGACCCAGACGGAAAAGCAGGAAAACGCAAAUAAAAAUGUAAAGUAAUGGAAGACAUCUUUCAGGCACCAACUAAGAGCGAAGUGAUACCAGCUUUGCCAAUCUCUUGGUCCCAAAUUAUGAAAGGAACAUUAAGAUUUUCAUUUUCAAUGACCAGCCAGUUGUAUUAUUUGAAUUCAGAUUGGUUUUUUAGAGUUAAAUUUGCACAGAGGUUGGAGAUUUAGGCGUGAACUGCGAAAGGAACAAAAAAACGUUAUCUGUCGGUCUAACGAACUCCGGAUAUAAGGAAUUAUUUUCUGCUACCCUUCAGAGUUCGUUAUAUCGGGAUUCCACUGUAUUACAGAAAAUGAACACAACCCUUAAACUGAACGACUCAAUUGCAAAAAGGAAAGCUGCGCUUUUGGGGCAUGUUGCAAGAGGAACAAGUGGCACAGUAUUUUGUAACAUCAUGGAAGGGUUUGUUCCAGGUAGAAUAUCUCGUGGAAGACUAGCAAGGAUAUGGAUAGAUGAUGUAAAAGAGUGAGCGAACAUUUGGAAUUAUGGUAUGCUUAAAAAUGUCUAAGGAUAGGGCUUGGUGGAAAAAUAGUAAGCGACCUACGGAUCAUGUAAUUGUAGAUGCUACACUGAAUGAAUGAGUGAAUUUAAUCGACAAAAAGGAAUCGAAACCAUCAUAUUUUAGUUAGAAAAGCAACUUACUUAUCAGUUAUUAAGACUACAGUAUCUAUUUUGCGGUUUCUUGCAACUUGGAUAUUUUUAUCUAGGGUCACCACAAAUGACAGGCUGGUAAAAAAACAAAAAACUCUUUUUCUUAGGGCCUGUUUACAAAGAGGCGAAUUUGAAGGCUUGUCUUGUAAGAAGAGCAUUAGAUUGUGAAGACCAGGUCAAUUUUCCUAGCCUUCUUUUCGUUCUUUAAAACAAUAAGUUAGCUUGCGAAUGAGAAGGUAAUCUUAAGAGAACCUUGUAAAAGAAAGCUUUCAUUACAUUGAAAUGGUGUUUGUUUGUGGCGGCUUUAGAGGGAAGGGGUCAUUUUUACUCGAAGCAAUACGCAAUAAGGUUUGAUCGAAGCAAUGUAUUCUUUCCCAUUAUUGACAGUAUUAAAUGCUAGCCUACUGGCAAGUAGCUUUAUUGCUAUCAUAAUCAUCAUGUCUACCAUAAUCGUCAUGAUCACCAACGUUACCGUUAUUUUCGUUGAUGAUUUUGUUGUUGUCAUUGUCGAUAUCUUCUCAAAUCUUGAGUUCUAAGUAUUAUUUUAGCAACAACUGAUUAAAAUAAGCACACGACUUCUCUUGAACCCUCAGUACUCUUCUCCUUUGUAGUUUACCUUAGUUGAUGGAACAUUGGGGAAGUGAUUUUCGAUUUAAAUGUGGUAGUCAUUUGGUACUGUGGAGGGGGAUCUAAGUUCACUGUAAUCUAAGGUGGAGGGGGCACUUGAACUUGAUGAGCGUUAUUUAUAUUUGUAUGAAUGCAUUUUUCUCUAAAACUAUGCAAGAUACUGAAACGAAAAUUCAACAGAUUAUUCUUGAAGGUACGGCGAGUUCAAAUAUGGUCAGCAAUAAGAUAGAUAUGCAUAUGACAUGCUUUCAUGAUUGAUAAAUGAAUCUCGCUGGAAAUAAAUGUAGUAUUAUUUAGAAGGAAUCGCCACAUCCUUCAUAGCACGACUUAAUUAGCCUUACAAUUCUAAGGGUUUCUUAAUAAAGUUUUCCCUUUAGAAUCGAAGCAGACACAAUUAUUUAGUUAUGCAAAUGGUUUGGAAUUUUGCUUGCAAAUGUGAUCCAUAAUUUUUUGCUAAUUAUCAGGAACGAGUAAAAGAAACUCGAUUUUAUUCGCAGCCACUGUUAACUCUGUUUGAAGUUGCUAAUCAAGUUCCGAGAAAGCCUUUAACUCAGCGAUCUUUCCGUUUUAAGUGAACGACCCGAAAAUCUUUGAUAGCUCUUUCAAGUUAUUUUUUGUAAAAAUUAUGUGUGAUUACAAAUUGAAACUGAUUCGUAUAAAAAGCUGUUCAUUCACAAAAAGACAACUUUCUCAAACCUCUGCAAAGCUAUGAGCAUUGAAUAUUGGUCUAUGAAAUUACGAAAGUUUUAUCAUAACUAUUUCACUCUCAAGUGCAAAGCAGAGCGAAAUGUUAAUGGGCUUAUAUAUAUUUUGAUGGGAUCGAGUAGACCACAUGCUUGAAAUAAUACAUUGUUCUAAAAAACCACAACUUUAACAACCAAAUAAAUAUUAGUGCACAAAAUGCUGCUUAAUUUAUUUUAUGCAAAUGAUAUUUUAAAGAA